Lonchura striata (white-rumped munia) is the source of this 578-nucleotide long non-coding RNA. RefSeq lists it as uncharacterized. The record is from RefSeq and is a predicted model, not a curated record. NCBI's taxonomy places the organism in Eukaryota, Metazoa, Chordata, Aves, Passeriformes, Estrildidae.
UGCGCGCCGCUCUGCCGGCUCCGCAGGUGGGAGCGCACCUUUGGGGCUCGGGGCAGGAGCUCCGCCGGUGAACAGCAGGGAAAUGUGUUUCGCCAGGGAGCCGGGAACGCUGCAGUGCCUGUGCGGGGAGCAGGCAGCCGGGAGCUCACGGCACCGUGGCUCCCCUGGGGGUUACCGCCGGCAGAGCCUGGCUGGGGGCACCCGCGCAGCGCCGUGCCCAUUCCACACGCCCGCUGGACCCCUUUAAACACCUGCGCACCAGGGGGAGGGAGCUGAUGGCGUAUACAGAAAGUACGAAAAGCAGACAGCAGGAGCAAAGCAUUGGGAGGAGAGCAGGUGGAAAGAAGACACCAGGGACUGGAGAAAUCCCCACCAAAAUUGCCUUUGGAUGUGGCAGAGCAGCUCAGCUGGGAUUGGCUGAUCUUACAGAUGCUGGUAUAGCAUUGAGGAAAUAUUUCCUUUGACACACUGGCACUGCCUUCUGAGAAACUACUCCAUUUCCAGCUCUUUAUGGCAUUUAAUAGCAAUGAACUGUGUCUUCUGUAUUAAUAAAUUAUGAUGUCACUUUGUUUUAUGGA